This 715-nucleotide long non-coding RNA is filed under the name Trifolium pratense (red clover). RNAcentral describes it as "long non-coding RNA (TPRA_LNC013785)". The record is from RNAcentral. Lineage: Eukaryota; Viridiplantae; Streptophyta; Magnoliopsida; Fabales; Fabaceae.
CACAACUAUACGAUUUUGAUUUUUGACCACUUUGCCAUGCUUCCGUCUUGGGAUCAAACUUUGGAUAUCAAAAUGCAAAUCUACAAGUAAACACCAACAACAAAGGCUCGUAGAUUUGUUGUAGCAUUAUUGAAUUGUCAUUGUCUAUUGAAUUGUCAUUGACACAAAAACAUUAUACAGAAAAAUGCAUCUUUUAUAUGCAUGGUAUCAAUUUUAGGUUUUUUCAGUCCUUUGAAACUGUCUCAAUAGCCUUGUCUCCACGGUUGAACAGUACCCUCUGCCACUUAGUCCCACGUUUCUCUGCCAUCAUUUAUCCUCUCUCCGGUGUGACCACCACCACUUGGUUUGCAACUCACCGGCGACCACCUCAAUGAAGUUUCGCCACCAAACACUGCUGCACGUGCCCCCACACGCGUCUAACAUCCUGAUGCAUGAGACCCACGCACAUGCUCUGAUCUAUUUUUCCGUGCUUUUUUGCCAUAUCUCACUGCUGGUCGCGAUCGUCUCUAUAUUUCCCACCACUAGGCGACUGACCCUCUUUGCAUGUUUUUCAACCACCAACGCUUAUGGGUGAUAACUCCACCAACGAUUCCUCCACAUUUACCAAAGUUCCACUCAUCCGGUGCGAGAAACUAACUGUGAUAUAUUGGUCGUGAGAUAGACCCUGAGGUUUGCCAGCUGCCAUUGCACAUGUAUCUGAGACAGAAUUCAUUUG